RNAcentral lists this long non-coding RNA (7876 nucleotides) under Triticum aestivum (bread wheat). RNAcentral's name for it is "long non-coding RNA (TAES_LNC024316)". Lineage: Eukaryota; Viridiplantae; Streptophyta; Magnoliopsida; Poales; Poaceae. The record is from RNAcentral.
UCCAUCAACGUGGAUGUACGAUAGCACCACCUAUCGGAACCACGGAUAAAAAAUCUCCGUGUCUCCAGAUUGCGUUUGCACACUCCAAUCCCAUCCCUUUACAUUCUUGCAACUUGCAUGCUUUACUUUCCACUGCUCAUAUACUCUUAUCAUGCUUGCUUGAUAUGUAUUGUGAAUGUGUGAACUUGUGCUAAAACUCAACUUCAACUUAAAGAAAUUAAAAACUGCAAAUUUUAUUGCUAGGAGUCUAUUCACCCCCCUCUAGACACUUCUUCUCGAUCCUUUCAAUUGGUAUCAGAGCUUUGGUCUCCAUUGCUUUGGGGAUUCUUAGACGUAGAGUGCCUAUUCUUGAUGGAGAGUUCUUUCAUGAGUGAAAAAAUGAGAUGCUUGAGAUUUUCAAUGAAUAUCAUUUGAACAAGUACAUUACUAGCCCUUGUGCACCUCAUGUUGAUCCUUUACAUCCUACCCUUGAUGAGUCUAUUGAAAUGAUUCGCAAUCUUAGAACUAUCAAUCUUAUCAUUAGAGGAUUGCCCAAAAAAUUUAUUGCUAGCUUACCUACUCUUGAUUGUGCCUAUACUAUAUGGAGAUUUCUUGAGGAACGAUUCCCAAAUUAUUCCUUGAAAAAUCUAGACAAAAUUCUCCAUAAGUCUAUAGCCUUGAGUAAGAUGAGUACUAGUGAUCCUAAGUUUGAUGAUUGUCUAUUUGAGCUUCGUGAUCUCAUGCGUGCCAAAGGAGAUGUUGGAAUUAUUAGCAAUAUCAUUUCCGAAGUCAUUAGAAUCCAUAGAGAUGAACAUUGUUACGGUCAUACUUCUAAUGAAUUACCCUCUCUAGGAGUUGAUCAAUUACAAGACGAUAUAGAACAUGGAUACUAUGAUGAGGAUGAUGAUAGUGACUAUGAUCUUGAUGAUGCGAUGAGACACUUUGGUCUUAUGGCUAAUCUUCGCGGCUACUUGGUUGGAGGAAAGGAAUGGGUCCUUGAUAGUGGAUGUACUGAUCAUAUGACCGGAGACAGAGAUAUGUUUCGUGAGCUUGCUGAAAACGACGGCCCUCGAUAGUAUGUCACUUUCGGUGAUAACUCAAAGGGUAAGGUGGUUGGCCUUGGUAAGGUGGCCAUCUCACAUGAUAGCUCCAUACAAAAUGUCAUGCUCGUUGAAUCUCUUGGGUACAAUUUACUUUCAGUAUCUAGACUUGCUGAUUUCGGUUUCAAUGUCCUAUUUACUGAAGUAGAAUGUCAAGUGUUUCGUUGAGACAAUCAUAAAAUGGUCUUUACCGGUAUACGUAGAGGUGAUCUUUACAUUGUUGAUUUCACUAAAAAGGCUCAACCUAGAACUUUCUUAAUUGCUAAAUCUUCUAAAGGCUGGUUGUGGCAUAGAAGGUUAGGUCAUGUGGGCAUGCGAAAACUUGAUAAGCUUAUUAAAGGUGAUCAUAUCCUUGGAGUAAAAGAUGUUAUAUUUGACAAGGAUAGACUUUGUAGUGCUUGUCAAGCAGGAAAACAAGUUGGAGGAAGUCACCCCGUGAAGAACAUCAUGACCACGAGAAGACCGCUCGAGCUACUUCACAUGGAUCUCUUUGGUCCCAAUGCCUACAAGAGUCUCGGUGGUAACUCAUUUGGUCUAGUCAUAGUCGAUGAUUUUUCAAGAUUUACGUGGGUGUUCUUUCUUGAUGAUAAAUCGCAGGUCGAAAAGAUCUUCAAAAACUUCGCUAGGAAGGCCCAAAAUCAAUUUGAAGUGAAGAUCAAGAAGGUUCGGAGUGACAACGGAACGGAGUUCAAGAACGCAAAUGUGGAUACCUUUCUUGACGAAGAAGGGAUUUCACACGAGUUCUCGGCUACGUACACGCCUCAACAAAAUGGAGUUGUUGAGAGGAAGAACCGAACUCUUAUUGAGAUGGCAAGAACGAUGCUUGAUGAGUACAAGACUCCAAAACACUUUUGGGCGGAAGCGGUUGAGACAACUUGUCAUGCAACAAAUUGCUUGUAUCUUCACAAGCUACUCGGCAAGACGGCAUACGAGCUCCUCACCGGUAACAAACCCCAAGUUGGAUACUUUCGAGUAUUCGGCUCAAAGUGCUACAUUCUUGAUAAGCAUCGUCGUUCUAAAUUUGCUCCUAAAUCUCAUGAAGGUUUCCUACUUGGUUAUGGCUCAAACUCUCACACUUAUCGUGUCUACAACAAUUUCACCCAAGAGGUUGAAGAGAUGGUAGAUGUGAAGUUUGAUGAAUCUAAAGGCUUGCAAGUAGAGCAAUUGCCAAUUAAUGUAGGAGACAAAGGCCCUUCGGAAGCAAUCCUAGACUUGUCUAUCGGCAAGAUUCGUCCAACAGAGGUGAAGGAGAGUACCUCGUCCGUCCAAGUGGAAGCUUCCACCUCACGACAAGGUGAACCAAGAGUUGACAUGGGAGCAUCCACAAGUGGGACACACCAAGACGAAGAAAACGAGGACGUACACCAAGAUGAACCUCAUCAACCUCCCUCUCCACCACGACAAGAGAACGACAACGUCCACAAUGAAGAAGGCCAAGAAGAAGGACAAGAUGAAGAAGAUGUUCCACCCCGAACAAAGAAAAAGCUCCCACGAGUUCGAGCAAGAGUCGCCAAAGACCAUCCCGUCGACCAAAUCUACAAUGAUAUCCAAACCGGGAGAAUCACUCGCUCUAAAACUCGUUUGGCUAACUUUUGUGAACAUUAUUCAUUCAUCUCUAGCAUUGAACCUAUGAAGGUUGAAGAAGCAUUGGAAGAUCCGGAUUGGAUAAAUGCCAUGCAUGAAGAGCUACACAACUUUGAGAAAAAACAAGUGUGGACAUUGGUCGAGAAGCCCGACAACAACCACAACAUCAUCGGUACCAACUGGGUGUUUCGCAACAAGCAAGAUGAAGAUGGUCAAGUCGUCCGCAACAAAGCUCGUCUAGUCACCCAAGGCUACACUCAAGUCGAAGGUAUGGACUAUGGUGAGACAUAUGCCCCCGUUGCUAGACUUGAGUCCAUUCGCAUCUUACUUGCUUAUGCUAAUCACCAUGAUAUCACCUUGUACCAAAUGGACAUUAAAAGUGCUUUUCAAAAUGGUGAAAUUGAGGAGGAAGUUUAAGUUAAGCAACCUCCCGGCUUUGUCAAUCCUAAGAAACCUAAUCAUGUUUACAAACUUCACAAAUCUCUUUAUGGUCUUAAACAAGCUCCUAGAGCGUUGUAUAAAUGCUUGACCAAGUUCCUCAUUGAAAAAGGCUUUGAAAUUGGAAAAAUAGAUUCUACUGUUUUUACUAAAAGGGUUAAUGGAGAACUAUUUGUGUGCCAAAUUUAUGUUGAUGAUAUUAUAUUUGGUUCGACUAACCCUCAUUUUAGUGAGAAGUUUGGAACGCUAAUGUCGGAGAAGUUUGAGAUGUCUAUGAUGAGUGAACUCAAAUUCUUUCUUGGUUUGCAAAUUAAGCAAACUAAGGAAGGUACCUUUGUUUCUCAAACAAAGUACACCAAGGACUUAUUCAAGAAGUUCAAUAUGCAAGAAUGCAAAGGUAUGAAUACACCCAUGCCUACUAGUGGACAUCUUGAUUUGACCAAAGAUGGUGAACUGGUUGAUCAAAAAGUCUACCGCUCUAUGAUUGGUUCAUUGUUAUAUCUAUGUGCCUCUCGUCCCGAUAUUAUGCUAAGUGUGUGCAUGUGUGCAUGAUAUCAAGAGGCCCCUAAAGAAUGUCAUCUUAAGGCUAUGAAAAGGAUAGUGAGAUACUUAAUACAUACACCAAAUUUUGGCAUUUGGUAUCCUAAGAGGUCUUCUUUUGAUCUUGUUGGCUAUUCCGAUUCGGACUAUGCCGGAGACAAGGUUGAUAGAAAGUCCACUUCAGGUACUUGUAAAAUUCUUGGUAGAUCUCUUGUGUCUUGGUCCUCCAAGAAACAAAACUCGGUAUCCUUAUCCACCGCCGAAGCGGAAUACAUUGCCGCUGGUUCAUGUUGUGCUCAAUUACUUUGGAUGACCCAAACUCUUAAAGAUUAUGGGAUAUAUGUGAAACAUGUUCCAUUGCUUUGUGACAAUGAGAGUGCUAUUAAGAUUGCUCACAAUCCCGUGCAACAUUCUCGAACUAAGCAUAUUGAAGUUCGUCAUCAUUUCAUUCGAGAUCAUGUUGCUAAAGGGGACAUUGAUCUUAAGCAUGUUCGUACCGAUGAGCAAUUGGCGGAUAUAUUCACCAAACCGCUUGAUGAGAAAGUCUUUUGCCGUUUGAGAGGUGAAUUGAACAUCAUUGAUGCUUCAAACUUGGAGUAGGGACUCCAUUUGGAUACAUGCAAGGCAUGAAUCUAUGACCAAUCCUUGAUAUUUCUUUCAUGAUGCUAUUUACAUGUCUUGGAUAUAUUUGCACCCUUGCAUGUUAUCUAACCCUUGUAGGUACUUGGAUGAAUCUAAAUCUAUGAGAUUGCAACUCUCUCACAUCUUGAGCAAUCUCUACAACACCAAGUCUCUACAAUACGGUGGUUGAUGACAAGGAAGCACAAAACCCUUCAACAUAUCCUUUGACAAAUUAUAUGUAUAAAAUUUCAUGAUUGUCAUUUUGGAUACACAAGUGCUCUUCCUUGCAAAACUAACCCAUGUAGGUAGAUGAACUCAAAUUACAAGUGGUGCUCCCAACUCUUGAUGAACUACAUCAACCUUGAGCAACCCACACAAGUUCAACUACAUGAUCAAGAUCAACACCACCACCCAAGGUAUGCUAUUCCAUCUUGGAGAAGCUUUACUCCAAGUCAUGAGUCAAAGUAGCUCAACAAGAUGUGAAUACAUCAAAUGCUUAAACGAAAAAUGGUAACCCCAUUUUGAGCUUAAACGAUGAGUAUGACUUAUGAUCAAGUGCUCUCACUAGAAUCCUUAGUCAAUAUACUCUAACAUAGGUGACUUUGUCACUGCCCAAUUCUAGAUGAAGUUCUCUAGUGUUUCUUUGAGUUUUUGCAUUUUGUCCUUUGAAUAUUUAUUCCCUUUUCUUUAUCAAAAAAACUUCAUCUAGAUUUUCUUUUCUUUGUUCUGUUCUGCAUUCCCUGCAUCCAAUUCUUUGCAAAUCUUUCAGCUAAUUCCUUGCAAAUCCUUGUGAGAUCUUACUUGACUACUGAGCUGAGGUGACAAGUGUUUUCUUUGUGAUGAACUCGGUCACACCGGUUUGUUGUUUUCGGUCCAACCGAACCCUUUCGGUGCAACCGAAGCACACAACUCGGUGCCACCGAUUUCACUACAGGAAAGACAACUUGCCACUUGUUCCUGCAUUCUUUUUGCUCCAGCUUCACUCAAUGAUUCUUGUCCUCUACCAGCAUCACAUUCGACUUGCUGCUUUGCUUUGUGACUCAAGGACCAAACCCAUCUGUAACAAACAUCGAGAAGAGCCCUUCUUGGAAAUUGAUGUCAAAGGGGGAGAGAGAGAUCACAUCAAAGCUUAAUCAUUUCUAUAGGGGGAGAGAGAAUACUCAGGGGGGAGAGUUCUUCACAAUGAGAAAGAAGUAUCACAUCAAAGACCCCAGAUGCUUGGUGUUCAAGAGGAGAGAAGUCACAUGUCUUUAAGAGGGGAAAUACAUGUUCAUAUUUGAUUGCUUGCAUUUGCUCUGUUUUUUUCUUUGCUCUGAUUUUCUGUUCCCUAUCUUCUCCCAGUAUCCCAUGCAAUAUUCAGGGGGAGCAAGACAUCUAAGGGAAGGAAAUCCUUGAAUUCAUUGCAUAUCUUUACCUUUGGGGACAUGUCUAUAUCCAAUAGAGUACUCAGUACUCACUCUCUACAUGUCAUCCCAGUCUUGGUACUCUUGUGGUUUCUUUGUUUGCUCUGGCUAGUAGAUGUAUCUGCGUUAUCUAACCUUGUUUACUCAGGUUCAUUCCUUCCUAAGCCAACUCAAGACCACAAGGUAAGUAUAUGCAUCACAGUCAUGUGCAUGAGGUUUUCUUGCUGAUGUACAUAAUGUUUGCAAGAAGGACUCAUGAGCAUGAAGGUACAUUUCCUAUACUCACAACAUUUGCUCUGAUGCAUAUAGCCAAGAUACAUGUAGCACAUUGCUUACUCUGUCAUGCUUAUGCAUUCACAUGCUCCUAUAUUCCAUAUUUACAUGAUUGCAUACAUGUAGGGGAGCCUAUGCAUGUUACAUGUCUUUCCAAAGCUUUACUUGUUAUUCGCUAUAUCUUUAUCUAAAAGCGUUGAUGUAUGUUGUCAUCAAUUACCAAAAAGGGGGAGACUGAAAGCACAAGUGCUCCCUGGGUGAUUUUGGUAAUUAAUGUCAACAUAUCUCUUGUUGGACUAAUGGUUUCACCUAGUAUAUUUCAGAUAAGUUCAACAAUGGAGUGGCGUGGACAAGAAGAUGUGGAACCCCUUCAAGAUGAUAAGGACAAAGGAUUGGCUCAAGCUCAAAGCUCAAGACUCUGCAUUUUCUAUUUUAGUGAUCCAAGAUCACAUUGAGUCCAUAGGAAAGCCAAUACUAUUAAGAGGGGAUGAGGUGUUGCUUAAUGGCUUGCUUGCUCAAAAUGCUUAGUGAUAUGCUCCAAAAUCCUCAACUACUUUCUCACAUCCAAAUAUGUCCCAAACCAAAAGUCCAACUCGGCCCCACCGAAACUUUCUAUCCGGCGCCACCGAGUUCUCUUGACUUAGCCACUGCCAGAAACCCUAAUCAAUUCGGUCUCACCGAUAGGGAUCUCGGUAUCACCGAGAUGGGAUUGCAAACUCUCUGUUGCCUAUUGCAAUAAUCUCGGUCUCACCGAGAUAUGCAAUCGGUCCCACCGAGAUUGCAAUGCAAACUCUUUGUUUCCCCUUCGUAAUGUUUCAGUCCAACCGAGAUGAGCGAAUCGGUCCCACCGAGUUUGCCUGACCAACUCUCUGGUUAGUCUAUUACCAAAAUCGGUCUCACCGAGUUUGUGUAAUCGGUUUCACAUUGAUUACGUUAUGCCCUAACCCUAAUGACAUCGGUCCCACUGAGUUGACAUAUCGGUCCCACCGAAAACCCUAACGGUCACAUUAUGAACCAAAUCGGUCUGACCGAGUUCUCUGAUUUGGUCCCACCGAGUUUGGUGAUUUGCGUGUAACGGUUAGAUUUUGUGUGGAGGCUAUAUAUACCCCUCCACCCACUCUUCAUUCGUGGCGAGAGCCAUCAGAACAUGCCUACACUUCCAACAUACAUUUUCUGAGAGAGAACCACCUACACUUGUGUUGAGGUCAAGAUAUUCCAUUCCAACCACAUAAAUCUUGAUCUCUAGCCUUCCCCAAGUUGCUUUCCACUCAAAUCAUCUUUCCACCAAAUCCAAUCCUAUGAGAGAGAGUUGAGUGUUGGGGAGACUAUCAUUUGAAGCACAAGAGCAAGGAGUUCAUCAUCAACACACCAUUUAUUACCUCUUGGAGAGUGGUGUCUCCUAGAUUGGUUAGGUGUUACUUGGAAGCCUCCGUCAAGAUUGUGGAGUUGAACCAAGGAGUUUGUAAGGGCAAGGAGAUCGCCUACUUUGUGAAGAUCUACCCUAGUGAGGCAAGUCCUUCGUGGGCGACGACCAUGGUGGAAUAGAGAAGGUUGCUUCUUCGUGGACCCUUUGUGGGUGGAGCCCUCCAUGGACUUGUGCAACCGUUACCCUUCGUGGGUUGAAGUCUCCAUCAACGUGGAUGUAUGAUAGCACCACCUAUCGGAACCAUGGAUAAAAAAUCUCCGUGUCUCCAAAUUGCGUUUGCACACUCCAAUCCCAUCCCUUUACAUUCUUGCAACUUGCAUGCUUUACUUUCCGCUGCUCAUAUACUCUUAUCAUGCUUGCUUGAUACGUAUUGUGAAUGUGUGAACUUGUGCUAAAACUCCACUUCAACUUAAAAAAAUUAAAAACUGCAAAUUUUAUUGCUAGGAGUCUAUUCACCCCCCUCUAGACACUUCUUCUCGAUCCUUUCAAUUGGUAUCAGAGCUUUGGUCUCC